CCUACGGGAGGCAGCAGUGGGGAAUAUUGCGCAAUGGGCGAAAGCCUGACGCAGCGACGCCGCGUGAGGGAUGAAGGUCUUCGGAUCGUAAACCUCUGUCAUGUGGGAGCAAAUUAAAAAGAUAGUACCACAAGAGGAAGAGACGGCUAACUCUGUGCCAGCAGCCGCGGUAAUACAGAGGUCUCAAGCGUUGUUCGGAAUCACUGGGCGUAAAGCGUGCGUAGGCUGUUUCGUAAGUCGUGUGUGAAAUCCCCGCGCUCAACGUGGGAACUGCCUUUGAAACUGGCAAACUGGAGUGUGUGAGAGGAUAGUGGAAUUCCAGGUGUAGGAGUGAAAUCCGUAGAUAUCUGGAGGAACAUCAGUGGCGAAGGCGACUAUCUGGCACAUAACUGACGCUGAGGAGCGAAAGCGUGGGUAGCAAACAGGAUUAGAUACCCUUGUAGUC
Molecule: ribosomal RNA, 445 nt
Filed under: uncultured bacterium
Lineage: Bacteria
Description: partial 16S ribosomal RNA
Rfam family: Bacterial small subunit ribosomal RNA
Source: RNAcentral